CGUCAUCCUCGUUGUUAGCUAUU
RNAcentral lists this non-coding RNA (23 nucleotides) under Arabidopsis thaliana (thale cress). The record is from RNAcentral. Lineage: Eukaryota; Viridiplantae; Streptophyta; Magnoliopsida; Brassicales; Brassicaceae.